RNAcentral lists this ribosomal RNA (468 nucleotides) under uncultured bacterium. RNAcentral describes it as "partial 16S ribosomal RNA". It matches the Rfam family "Bacterial small subunit ribosomal RNA", at positions 28 to 507 of the family's 1533-position model. The record is from RNAcentral.
GACGAACGCUGGCGGCGUGCUUAACACAUGCAAGUCGAACGGAAAGGCCCUGCUUUUGUGGGGUGCUCGAGUGGCGAACGGGUGAGUAACACGUGUGUAACCUGCCCUUGACUUUGGGAUAACUUCAGGAAACUGCGGCUAAUACCGGAUAGGAGCUCCUGCUGCGUGGUGGGGGUUGGAAAGUUUCGGCGGUUGUGGCUGGACUCGCGGCUUAUCGGCUUGUUGGGGGGGUAGUGGCUUACCAAGGCUUUGACGGGUAGCCGGCCUGAGAGGGGGACCGGCCACAUUGCGCCUGAGGUACGGCCCAGACUGCUACGGGAGGCAGCAGUGGAGAAUAUGGCACAAUGGGCGGAAGCCUGAUGCGGCAACGCCGCGUGCGGGAUGCCGGCUUUCGGGUUGUGAACCGCUUUCGCCUGUGACGAAGCGUGAGUGACGGUAAUGGGUAAAGAAGCACCGGCUAACUACGUG